Molecule: ribosomal RNA, 423 nt
Filed under: uncultured bacterium
Lineage: Bacteria
Description: bacterial SSU rRNA
Rfam family: Bacterial small subunit ribosomal RNA
Source: RNAcentral
AAGACCUUGCGCUUUUGGAGCGGCCGAUGUCUGAUUAGCUUAUUGGUGAGGUAAAGGCUUACCAAGGCUUCGAUCAGUAGCUGGUCUGAGAGGACGGCCAGCCACACUGGAACUGAGACACGGCCCAGACUCCUACGGGAGGCAGCAGUGGGGAAUUUUGGACAAUGGGGGCAACCCUGAUCCAGCCAUGCCGCGUGAGUGAAGAAGGCCUUCGGGUUGUAAAGCUCUUUCAGCCGGAACGAAACGGUUACGGUUAAUACCCGUGACUACUGACGGUACCGGAAGAAAAAGCACCGGCUAACUACGUGCCAGCAGCCGCGGUAAUACGUAGGGUGCAAGCGUUAAUCGGAAUUACUGGGCGUAAAGCGUGCGCAGGUGGUUUUGUAAGUCAGAUGUGAAAUCCCCGGGCUUAACCUGGGAACU